UACUAGGGGAUCUCGACUUCAAGUGACUGCGGCGGCGGAAAGAGAAAGGGCAGGAGGAGGGGAAGGAGGAGGCUUUAGGAGGGGUGUCAGAGGACGUCCUGGAGCUGCCGAGAAGAUGUUGGGUGUAGCGGCGGGAAUGACCAACAGAAAUUCACCGGUGGCAGAGGGAGGCAGCAGUAAACAGCACCUGGGACUAAGGAGUGAGGAACCAACUCAAACUGGGCUCCUAGGCUGGACUCCAGGCAUUCCUGAUGUAAGGCCUUGAAAAGCUAUCUUGAAAAUGUGUGUACUUAGCAGUAGAAAGAGCUUAACAGAUCUCUGGUUCCAUCUGCUGGAAUGAAGCAAGAAGACACUCAUUCCUUCUUAAGAAAAGAACUACGAAGAGUUUUUUUGUUUUGGAGAAUAAAACUUUAAAAAAAAAUUCAUAUCUUUUGUUUUUAUAUUACCUUCAUUUCCAAUUUUAUCCCCCUUCCUUUUUACACAUAUACCCCUACCAAGAAAGCCUUCCCUUGUAACAAAAACAAACAAAUAAAUAAAUAAAAGAGAAAGAGGGAGAUAAAGCAGUUUAGCAAAAUUAAUUAAUACAUCACCCAA
Long non-coding RNA from Gracilinanus agilis (Agile Gracile Mouse Opossum), 594 nucleotides. RefSeq lists it as uncharacterized. The record is from RefSeq and is a predicted model, not a curated record. The transcript has 3 exons. NCBI's taxonomy places the organism in Eukaryota, Metazoa, Chordata, Mammalia, Didelphimorphia, Didelphidae.